Non-coding RNA from Microcebus murinus (gray mouse lemur), 442 nucleotides. Lineage: Eukaryota; Metazoa; Chordata; Mammalia; Primates; Cheirogaleidae. The record is from RefSeq and is a predicted model, not a curated record.
ACGAACAGCCUUCCAGAAGAGCAACGUUCCUGCUGAUUGGCUUGAGCCAUAUUUUCGGCAUUACGCCAAAAGCCGGACCACGCCAGGCAUGUUCCAGUCCCAGGGUCUUUGCACCUGCUGUACUCUCUGCCUGAAAAGCUCCUCUAGCACCGGAAAUGUAUCUUCAGAGAGGCCUUCUGACUACCCUUACCUAAUAUCUCUCUGCUGCCUCUUUCUAUUUCAUCACUCAAUUUUAUUUUUGUCAUGAACCCUACAGCUUUUUGAAAUUGCUUAUUCACUCUCCCAAACACAUACACUAGAAUACCCACUCUAUGAGAAAAAAAAAACCUUGCCUGUCUUUUUUCCACCACUCAUAUCCCCACUGACAAGCAAAGUGCUUAGGACAUGGAAAGUUCUCAAUACUCUAUAUAUUUGGUGAGUGAAUAAACAAUGAACCAACUUA